GAUGAACGCUGGCGGCGUGCUUAAUACAUGCAAGUCGAACGGUCAAGGCGGAGCUUUCCCUCCUGGACCAGUGGCGAACGCGUGAGUAACACGUGAGCAAUCUGCCCCUGACACUCGGAUAUGAGCUCGAAACGGCGGCUAAUACUGGAUACGAGCUGCUAAGGCAUCUUCAGCAGCUGUAAAGAACUGCGGUCAGGGAUCAGCUGGCUGCCUAUCAGCUUGUUAGGCAGGUAAUGGAUCACCAAGGCUACGACGGGUAGCCGGCCUGAGAGGGUUACCGGCCACCAGGCGACUAAGAGACGGAGCAGAAUGGUACGGGAGGCAGCGGGGGGGAAUCUUGCGCAAUGGGGGCAAGUCUGAUGCAGAAAUGUCGCGUGAGGAACGCCGGCCUUCGGGGUGUAAACAACUUUUAGCAGGGAAGAAGCGAAAUUGACGGUACCUGAAGAGAAAGCGCCGGCUAACUACGUG
This 468-nucleotide ribosomal RNA is filed under the name uncultured bacterium. RNAcentral describes it as "partial 16S ribosomal RNA". It matches the Rfam family "Bacterial small subunit ribosomal RNA", at positions 28 to 507 of the family's 1533-position model. The record is from RNAcentral.